Molecule: long non-coding RNA, 264 nt
Filed under: Capsicum annuum
Lineage: Eukaryota; Viridiplantae; Streptophyta; Magnoliopsida; Solanales; Solanaceae
Description: long non-coding RNA (CANN_LNC016362)
Source: RNAcentral
GGGGGUUCGUCAAGCCGUAUACAAUCCACAUAUAUCAUAUCUUCUUUUCAACAUAUCUCUCGAAAAGGGUUUUAUAAGGUAUUACAAUAUCUCCUCCCCAGCACAUUCAUCGGGAAGGGUUUUAAAAAGGUGUUGCCAGUGUUACUCAGGUGUGCCACAAUAGUACCAAUGUUUCAUGAAUAAGUAUGAUAUAAUGAUAUAAUGCUCACAGCAAAUCACAAUGAUUAUUUUCACAACCAAUCACAAUGAUUUUCCACAACCAAC